UUUAAAGAGUGCGUAAUAGCUCACUAGUCGAGUGACACUGCGCCGAAAAUGUACCGGGGCUAAACAUAUUACCGAAGCUGUGGAUUGUCCUUUGGACAAUGGUAGGAGAGCGUUCUAAGGGCGUUGAAGCAUGAUCGUAAGGACAUGUGGAGCGCUUAGAAGUGAGAAUGCCGGUGUGAGUAGCGAAAGACGGGUGAGAAUCCCGUCCACCGAUUGACUAAGGUUUCCAGAGGAAGGCUCGUCCGCUCUGGGUUAGUCGGGUCCUAAGCUGAGGCCGACAGGCGUAGGCGAUGGAUAACAGGUUGAUAUUCCUGUACCACCUAUAAUCGUUUUAAUCGAUGGGGGGACGCAGUAGGAU
This 358-nucleotide ribosomal RNA is filed under the name Staphylococcus aureus. RNAcentral's name for it is "partial 23S ribosomal RNA". It matches the Rfam family "Bacterial large subunit ribosomal RNA", at positions 1122 to 1483 of the family's 2925-position model. Lineage: Bacteria; Bacillati; Bacillota; Bacilli; Caryophanales; Staphylococcaceae. The record is from RNAcentral.